GAAAUGCGAUAAGUAAUGUGAAUUGCAGAAUUCAGUGAAUCAUCGAAUCUUUGAACGCACCUUGCGCUCCUUGGUAUUCCUUGGAGCAUGCCUGUUUGAGUAUCAUGAAAUCUUCAAAGUAAAUCUUUUGUUAACUCAAUUGGUUUCUACUUUGGUAUUGGAGGUCUUUGCAGCUUCACAUCUGCUCCUCUUUGUUCAUUAGCUGGAUCUCAGUGUUAUGCUUGGUUCCACUCGGCGUGAUAAGUUAUCUAUCGCUGAGGACACUGUAAAGGGUGGCCAAGGUAAAUGCAGAUGAACCGCUUCUAAUAGUCCAUUGACUUGGACAAUACUUUUAUGAUCUGAUCUCAAAUCAGGUAGGACUACCCGCUGAACUUAAGC
Molecule: unclassified non-coding RNA, 378 nt
Filed under: plant metagenome
Description: partial contains 5.8S ribosomal RNA, internal transcribed spacer 2, and large subunit ribosomal RNA
Rfam family: 5.8S ribosomal RNA (bases 1-105)
Source: RNAcentral